GUGCAGCCGCGGCAGGGAGAGGUCCGCUCGCACGCACGGGCGCCGCGCUGGUCCCGGGCUGACGGUUUCCCAGAUGAUGGCAUGCAAGAAUUUAAACAAAGGGGACCGCUGCGGGCGCGAAGCGGCUGCGGAAAGUUGCGGUGGCAGAUUUCCAAGAAGCGUGGCCGCGACCCGAGAUCUUGGCGCUGCGAGCUCCGGUUUCCCAACCCCGUCGAGACAGAGAUGGGGGCCGGCUGGUGAACGAAAGCGGAAACUUUGAAACCACUGGGGUCACAUCUGUCUAUAGGUAUUAGCUUGAAAGGCCUCCUGCGAACGUCCAGAGCCACAGAGGGUACGCCUAGGACUCUGCCGGACACUAAGAGUUAAGAUGUGGCUGAGAGGGUGGAGGGGGAGGGGCGGGGAGGAGAAAGUGGAGAGGGGGAGGGAGCCUGAGGGAGGACAGAUUUCCCGCAUACACGAUGCUCUGCCUAAAUUAAAAAGCAACCAAUCGAAACGGCCGGAAGGGGGACGUCGGGUCCUGAGCCAGUCAUUCCGGGCCUGCCAAUCACUCAGCAGGUAGCCAAUCAAUGGGGCCCCUGGCGCUGGACUUCCUUGUAUUUGGGAAAGUGUGGUGGUGGGUGUGCGCUCGCGGCGAGGGUAAACAUUCGACAGUCCCUGCUCUGAGAGGGAGGGACCCAGAACGAACUGUCAGAUUGGAGCGCCAGCGGGCGGGCAAGACCAGGGGAGAGAGGGGGGAGGGGAGACAGAGAGAGAGAGAGAGAGAGAGAGAGAGAGAGAGAGAGAGAGAGAGAGAGAGAGAGAGAGAGAGAGAGAAAGUGAGAGAGAAAGAGAGCGCAAACCAGGGCGCAGAACGAGCUCCCACUGCAACUCCGCUCGCGCACCGCCCGCGCCCGCGCCAGCCCUGCACCCUACGAGCCGCGCAACGUGCCCACUGGAGUUGGUUGUAUAUCAAGGAUCCCCUAUAUGCACACACACCCCUCAACCUCCACCAAUGCACUUUUCCUCCUCCUCCUUCUCCUCCUCCUCCUUCAGACAACUGCUGGGAAAAAAAUAAAACACCAACCCCAACCUUCAGCAACAAGGUAACAGAGCCAUUCGACCUCAUUUUUCUCCUGUUCAUUUUUUCCUUGUUAUAUUUGUUUCCUCGUUUCUGCCUAAAAGGAAAGAUGUCGCAUCAGGCUGUGACUGUUGCGAGGAGAAUGAAAGAGGACUCUUGUUUCAGAGGCAACCAAGAGUUCCGGCAAUAGCAACUUCAGAGCAAUGCAGCAUCGCAAGAAGUUUUCCUAGGACAGAACAAAACUUGAAACGAGAGGACCAUACGAGGAGAGCAGGAGCUAGCCUCUUCUCUCCGCACACGCCAGCAGCCAGCAUCACCACGCCUUCAAGGACUAAAAAAGUUUUACUACUCCAAGGGGUAACGAGUGAAAUGUGUUCCUGAGAGGAGAGGAGAGCGGCCAAGGAAAGGCGCAGGCCGGCUGUUGGUCAUCCAUAAUUUGAUUCAAGAAGAAAGAAACGGCUUCUUUCUUUGUUGUCUCCCGUGAAAUCGCCACUUAGCAGGUGGAUCGAGCCCCGCGUCCAGGCAGAGUCCGCGUUCACCGGGACAGGAGGAGGAGUGGGAGCCGGGCGCCCUAGCUUAGAGCCCCAGCGCAGGCCCGCGCCCCGCUCGGUGAGCCCUGCUGGAGCAAGACGAACGCACCGGGGCGGGGGGGCGGCCAAGACCCCCCCUGAAGGGGACGGCCGCGGAGCGCGCCCGGAAAAGCUAG
Long non-coding RNA from Phyllostomus discolor (pale spear-nosed bat), 1763 nucleotides. RefSeq lists it as uncharacterized. The record is from RefSeq and is a predicted model, not a curated record. The transcript is spliced from 2 exons. Lineage: Eukaryota; Metazoa; Chordata; Mammalia; Chiroptera; Phyllostomidae.